UUUUUUGUAUCUGAGCAGGAUGAAUGUAUUUACAUAUAUGUAUGUAUAUGCGUUUCAAUCUACGUAGAAAUUGUUUAAGGCUUGUUGUUAUACGUUUGUUGUUGUUUCAGCCGAAGAUCCACAAUUCAAGUACAUUUAUAGUUACCAAUUGUAAGCGAACUUUUCUUACACUUUAUUUCUUUAAUAUUUUUAAUUGAUGUUUAUAUUUUUGACUUUGAAUUCUUCGUUACUCUCCAUUUGUUUUUACUCAUUAAUGUUAUUAUGUAAGUAUAUAUUGAGUUCCCCUCUUGAUCGCAUUGUUGUUUAUCAUUGUAGUGAAUUUGAUGAUAUGUUCCUUAUGUAUAUAUAUAUGUAUAUCCAUUUAUAUGUAUGUUACUAAUUAUGAUAAUUUCAUAUCUGUGUUCGGCUAGUAACGCCAAUCAUUUGGUCACCGCUGUACGAGUCGACUCUCCCUUUGUCGUCCUAUGUUCACAUUCAACGCUUUUCUAAGACGGUAGUUUCGCCUCCAGAUCUCACCUCUUCUACUACUGCGGCAACCGUAGCUUAAAAUGUAGUAAAUUUUUAUGUUUUCGAAUACUUUUUGUAUAAUGGACGACAUAAAAUCUAGCAGUUACUGGAGUCCAAAGUUCUUCAACUGAUAUGCAAUAUUGAUUUUUAAUUGUAAUAUGUUUUUAUUAUUUUUUUUUUUUGUAGUUCUCACGAAUAUGGAUGUGGUAUUCUGUACUGAGGUAGGUUUAUAUAGGCGAUAAAGUGGUGUAACGCUCUAACUAUGCAAAUAAAGUUAUCAGUUCGGUUAUACUUGUAUCUGUGUGAGUAUAGGCACAAACUAGUUUUUUAUUUGUAAAUUCUGAAUUGUACUGUACAAAUUAAAUUAUAGUGUGCUGUCAAUAGUAUUUUUGAUGCCGAAUUUUGUCAAAAAAAAUUAGUGCUAAAUUUAAUUAUUAACAUAUCAUAUUAUAGUGCCUUAGAUAUCAUAGUUUUUAGCAAUACUCGUGAUUUAAAGCAUUAUUAAAAUUACCACAUAGGAAAUCGGUUUUGGCAGUCUGUAAAUUGGGUCAACAGCCAAACAAAUGACACACAGUUAUGAUGUAUAAACCGUACCGAAAACCAAUGGAAAGGGUUCAGCGGAUUACAGCGCUUUGCAAAAUGGGAACACUAAGAACCAUCCCAACAGCGGCUCUUGAACUUAUACUAAGAAUGGCUAGCGUAAGGGCAUGGCACCUGCACGCAGCACUUUAAAAAUAUUUACGGAUGGCUCGAAAAUGGUGUAUGGAGUAGGUGCGGGGAUAUACUGGCCUGAGUUAGCCUUUAAGGCAGCCUUUCAAACUACUAUACUGCAAUAUAUUUGUAGCGGAGGUGUUUGCAAUUGGGAAAGCCGCCGAGCUAUCCUUAAACCCAUCAACAGGAUACUCUAAAGUCAACAUAUACGUAGGUAGUCAGGCGGCAAUCAAGGCAAUAUCCUUCUUCUGCAUAUACGCCAAAAGUGUUUUGCGUGGCAGGGCAGCAGUGGAGGAUGUCGCGGCUGGAAUUUAGUAUAGCAUCCCACGAUUUCGCGGAUAAAAUGUGUAUGGUUGGAUAGAGGAGAUCCUCCGCAGGAUACUUAGAGUUUUCGAGAUAUUCACGUUUAAAGUUUAAAAAUUGUCUAAUUUUAACACGUAAUUUCUCGCUAUAUAGUUAAUUUUUUUUUUAUAUUUUGCAAUUAUUAUACACUUACACUUCACUACUUUCUUUCUAUAUAUUUAUUUUAAAUUAAUUAUUUAGAAAUUUGCUUUAAAUAAGCAUUUUAAUUUUUAUUCAAUUUUAUCAAUUGAUACAAUAACAAAAGGGUUGCAUGCUGACGAAAAAGAAGCAUAGCCAUAUCUAAAAAAAUACAAAUGAAUCAUAAUAUAUAAAAAGGAGGGAUUUUACCCCAAAUUAUAUCUCGGGGUGUCCUAAGUCCCAUUCGCGUAGUAUUACUUUCUGCAUUGCUUGAAAAAAAUAACCCUGGUCGAGCCAUCACCGGGAAUUAUCAAAGAGAUGGAAAUCAUAACUUUUUUCGUGUAGAAGUGUCAAAAGCAAAGCACCAGAGAAGCAAUGGAUCAUCUCUUGUGUGCUUGUCCUGCAUUAUCAAAGCAACGGCUUCAGCAUUUUGGGGUUUCACAAUACAUUAAUCUGGGAUAGAUUUCGUUAGUGAAACUCAUAACCUUUUGAAAUUCGCGUCAAGCACAGACAACCUAAAGGAUGAUUACUCCUAAUUAACAAUGUGACGGCACUCCACGGGACAGGGGCUAAAAAUUAACGAAACCGGAUGUGAAUAUUACAAUAAGUAUACAUACAUAUAUGGAGGAUACAUUGGAUGGGACAGACUCCUUACAGACCAUUGUCUCUAUAUUGGCACUGGUUUUGUUUUUAUGGGUUAGAUGUAAGUAAUUGGUGUAAAUUGAGAUGACUCACACUUUACGCGGAUCGGCUUUGAGGACACAAUCCCAUAAGAACAAUAAAUCCAGUAGAAAUAGUGCCUUCGGCGAUUGGCGGCUAUAUAAGGUGGGUCUCGAAAUAUAAAGGGCUGCAAUAAAGAAGUCCAAGAGGGCUUUAAGAAGAAUAUUUUGCGUAUCUGCCAUCAUCAGGAAUUAAGAGCAUUCACGUUUUGCACUCUACGUUCGAAGUAUCCCUUAGAGAGCUUCAGAAGGACUGUACAAAUUUCUGCACAAACACAAUUUCGCAAGGGUAUUGAAAUUUUUCGAACCCUUCAAUUCAGUGAACCUAACCUCUCAGCUAUACCGAACAAACGUUUGCCCAAUGUUGAUAUUCCGUGCACAGAAGUGGUUUCACCAUCAACACAACCCUGGAGAAAGCGAUGUUGGUUCGAUGUCUUCUAGUAGGGAUUUGAAAUUGUCCAUGGCAAAAUCUUUUAACAAGUCCAACGCUACUAGGAUUAAUUAUGUAAAUGUUUAUGAGCCAUUUUGAUUUUUCGCUAGACUCAAAUGGUAAGACCUCAAGUGUCGUCAUUACGGGAGAAAUGUGAGUUAUCGAACUAAGACUGUAGGUUGGCGAGUUUGCCACAGCCAAAUUACCAAGUUACACAGCGAAAGCUGCACGUCGAAUAGCUCCAAUCACACCAGGCAGAUAAAGAUUUCGCAACUCGAUAGAUAUCCACCACACGUCAACUUCUUGAAAUGACCCAAGAAAAACAGAUCGACACGCACGGUCUUCUUGUCGAUUUGAAAGCUGCAUUCGAGGCUAUGUAAAAUGACGAUCAGCGUUACUACUAGCUCCGUCAGAAUAUGAUCUCUCCGAGCCGUUCGAUACCAAACGAGGUUUCAGACAAAGAUCGAGCGAUUUCUUUAAAGGACCGCAAUGGCACUUUUUGGGAGUACGAUGUGGCAAAGAUGGAUUACAUAAGGUUUAUGGAAAAUUUUCGCCUUCCUCUAUCGAGCGAUUUCUUUAACCUAAUGCUUGAGAAGAUAAUUCGCGCUGCAGAUCUUCAAAUACCAAAUAUAACAUCAACCACGAAAUCAAUAGGAGGAUCACUGUUGCCAACAGGCUUGCUAUCACGCACUCAAAAGGUGACAUAUGGUCAUAAUAAUAAUAUUUUCAGUGUUAUACAGUGAUACAAUAAAAAUGGAAAGACGGCGAAUAUUAAGGUUGUUAGCAGUCCAAUUUGUUCAAAACCACUUUUUAAUACAAAACAAUUAAAUACACUACUUCUAAAACUCCAUCGGAAUAUGAGAUUCAUUAAUGAAAUGCAACAAACGAUAGUACAAACUAGUACCGCAGUGGCGUCUUUCCAGACACUCCAAAGAAGGGCCUGGAAAUUUGACCGCAAUGGCACUUUUUGGGAGUACGAUGUGGCAAAGAUGGAUUACAUCAGGUUUAUGGAAACUUUUCGCCUAAACAAAGAAGCUUUUAAAAAAGUAUACCAAAAAGUUCAGGAAAUCAUGUUCAAAAAAGAGUGGCCUUGUAUGCAUUAGGUUGGUCGGCAGAAUAUCGAAAUUGUACUGGACGUUUGCAACGCUAUUUUCAAAAAUUUAGCGGAUUACAUCAAUAGCUAUCCCCCAAGCCAAGAAGAAAUAAAUAAAAAUGUCCAAGGCUUUAAGCAACUUGGUUUCCAUCAGUGUUUCGGAACAACAGCUGGCUACCACAUUGAGGUUCAGCCGAAAAAAGAAGACGCUGUCAAUUUCUAUAACUAUAAAGAGUGGUAUUCCAUUGUUCUGUUAGCAAGUUGCGACUAUAGGUCUAAAUUUAAUACUGGAGUACUGAAUCAACUGGAAGAAAUAAUGAUUCAUACAUUUUUGAAAAUAGCUCUUUGAAGAAUUGUCAUGAAAGCUCCGAAAUUGUUUCUGAGAACAGCAGAAUAAUUGGAGUUAAUGUUCCUGUGCUACUUAUUGGUGAUACAGCUUUUCGAAUGUCGCGUUAUGUGAUGAAGCCUUUUCCAUAUUCACCAAAUCAAACACUUCUAGAAAAAAACAUUUAAUUACCGUUUGUUCAAAUGUCGCAGAGUUAUAGAAAAUGCUUUCGGCCAACUAAAAGAUCGAUUUCGAAAAGUUGGCAGAGGCCUGCAAGUAGCUCCAAAAAACGUCAACGUUAUUGUAUAUGCAUGUUGUAUUUUACACAAUUUUUUAAAAAUUGAAAAUGAGCUGAGAUGAGAUUCCUUCUUCGUGGAUCCAAGAUGUAGCAGAAAUAACAAGAGAAAAUAAACCACAACAUACUACAAGAGCUGGGGAAAAUGAUGUAACAGCAUCUGCUAUUAGAAAUGCAAUAUCUUUGAGUUUUGUUGACGACGGCAUUGGUGCAGAUGAUGGUGAUGGCGAUGACAACGAAGGUGGUGGCGACAGUAGCGAAGGUGAUGGAGACGGCAACAUAAACGAUGGUGACUGGCGACACCACACAUGACGGAGAUGGCGGUGCACAUGUUGCGGAUGGUUGCUGAGGCGGUUGAAUCGAUAUUGAAUUCUAAAAAAUUAAAUGAAAAUACACAUGGAAUAAAUGAUUUGUUUACCAUAGGAUAGGAUGACAUGCACGUCGUAGAAUUGACGGCUGUGGACCCUAUAAUUCGAUGCACUGCCUGGUAGUGUUUCCAUCCAGAAGGGCUACCGCCAGAUGGGCCCAUUUUAGUUUUUUCUUCUCUGUUGUAUUUCAAUAUACAUAUAUAAUGAAAUGUAAUUAAUUUUUUUUAGUUAAA
Molecule: long non-coding RNA, 5161 nt
Organism: Zeugodacus cucurbitae (melon fly)
Lineage: Eukaryota; Metazoa; Arthropoda; Insecta; Diptera; Tephritidae
Exons: 8
Source: RefSeq, a predicted model, not a curated record